RNAcentral lists this ribosomal RNA (666 nucleotides) under Alexandrium tamarense. Its description in RNAcentral is "eukaryotic LSU rRNA". It matches the Rfam family "Eukaryotic large subunit ribosomal RNA", at positions 43 to 651 of the family's 3401-position model. Lineage: Eukaryota; Dinophyceae; Gonyaulacales; Pyrocystaceae. The record is from RNAcentral.
UAAGUAAGUGGUGGAAAUUAAACCAAAUGGGAUAUCUUUAGUAAUUGCGAAUGAACAAGGAUAUGCUUAGCUUGACAAAUGGAGCUAUUGGCUUUGAAUUGUAUUGUGGAAAUGUAUUACCAACAGAGGUGCAGGUGCCAGCCUAUUGAAAUAAAGCGUCAAUGAGGGUGAGAAUCCUGUUUGUCAUGUGCAGCCCUUUGUGCACGGUGUAUAUUUGCUGAGUCACACUCCUUGUCAUUGGAAUGCAAAGUGGGUGGUAAGUUUCAUGUAAAGGUAAACAUGCAAUUGAGACUGAUAGCACACAAGUACCAUGAGGGAAAUAUGAAAAGGACUUUGAAAAGAGAAUUAAAUGAGUUUGUAUUUGCUGAACACAAAGUAAACAGACUUGAUUUGCUUGGUGGGAGUGUUGCACUUGCUUGACAAGAGCUUUGGGCUGUGGGUGUAAUGAUUCUUUCUUUGCAUGCCAGUUUCUAUUUGUACAUCUGAUUACCUUUGCACAUGAAUGAUAAGUCUCCUGUGGGGGGUGGAUUGCAUGUGCAUGUAAUGAUUUGUGUUUUGAUAAAUGUGUCUGGUGUAUGUGUGUGUUCCUGUGCUUGGGGAUGCUUCCUUCCUUGGACUUACAAGCCCUGACACACACAUGCUGGCAAAAUGCUUCUGCUUGACCCG